GAACCCAGGGAGGGGUAACCCUCCUUGGGGGAGAGCGGCGAACGGGUGAGUACAGCGGCGCACGGGUGCGUAACACGUGGGUAAUCUACCUCGAAGUCUGGAAUAACUCCCCGAAAGGGGUGCUAAUGCCGGAUGAGACCACGGGAGCCCCGGCUCCCGAGGGAAAAGAUGGCCUGUGCAUGCAAGCUAUCGCUUCGAGAUGAGCCCGCGGCCCAUCAGCUCGUUGGCGGGGUAACGGCCCACCAAGGCUGGGAAGGGUAGCUGGUCUGAGAGGAUGAUCAGCCACACUGGAACUGAGACACGGUCCAGAGACAUACGGGAGGCAGCACUCCGAUCUGNCAAGAAACUCGAGCCAUACCGGAGAUCUUCU
RNAcentral lists this small RNA (370 nucleotides) under uncultured bacterium. RNAcentral's name for it is "bacterial SSU rRNA". The stretch from base 60 to 322 matches the Rfam family "Bacterial small subunit ribosomal RNA", at positions 100 to 347 of the family's 1533-position model. The record is from RNAcentral.